RNAcentral lists this ribosomal RNA (445 nucleotides) under uncultured bacterium. RNAcentral's name for it is "bacterial SSU rRNA". It matches the Rfam family "Bacterial small subunit ribosomal RNA", at positions 354 to 797 of the family's 1533-position model. The record is from RNAcentral.
GUGAGGAAUAUUGGUCAAUGGGCGCAGGCCUGAACCAGCCAAGUCGCGUGAGGGAAGACGGUCCUACGGAUUGUAAACCUCUUUUGUCGGGGAGUAACGUGCGGGACGCGUCCCGUAUUGAGAGUACCCGAAGAAAAAGCAUCGGCUAACUCCGUGCCAGCAGCCGCGGUAAUACGGAGGAUGCGAGCGUUAUCCGGAUUUAUUGGGUUUAAAGGGUGCGCAGGCGGCGCGCCAAGUCAGCGGUCAAAGUUCCGGGCUCAACCCGGUGUCGCCGUUGAAACUGGCGUGCUCGAGUGCGUGCGAGGAAGGCGGAAUGCGUUGUGUAGCGGUGAAAUGCAUAGAUAUGACGCAGAACUCCGAUUGCGAAGGCAGCUUUCCAGCGCGCUACUGACGCUGAGGCACGAAAGCGUGGGGAUCGAACAGGAUUAGAAACCCUAGUAGUCCC